GAUUAACGCUGGCGGCGUGCAUAACACAUGCAAGUCGAACGAUGAAACUUUAAUGAACCCUUCGGGGAGAUUUAAAGCGGCUUAGUGGCGAACGGGGGAUUAACGCGUGAUUAACCUGCCUUACACAAGGGGAUAGCCAUUGGAAACGAAGAAUAAUACCCUAUAAAACCAUAAAAUAACAUGCAAUUAUUGUCAAAGUGAUAGCGGUGUAAGAGGGACUUGCGUCUGUAUAGCUAGUUGGAGAGGUAAAAGCCCACCAAGGCAACGAUCAGUCGCCGGCUCGAGGGAGCGGACGGCAACACUAGGACAGAGAGAAGGAGCAGACUCCCACGGAAGGGAGCAAGGGGGAAGGUGGCACAAUGGGGGAGUGACGGAGGCAGCGAGGCCGCGUGAUUUAGAAGGCCGGCGAGUUGUAAAAUGCUUUUGUAUAGGAAGAUAAUGACAGUACUAAACGAAUAAGGCACGGCUAACUACGUG
RNAcentral lists this ribosomal RNA (477 nucleotides) under uncultured bacterium. RNAcentral describes it as "partial 16S ribosomal RNA". It matches the Rfam family "Bacterial small subunit ribosomal RNA", at positions 28 to 507 of the family's 1533-position model. The record is from RNAcentral.